Molecule: long non-coding RNA, 1481 nt
Organism: Diorhabda sublineata
Lineage: Eukaryota; Metazoa; Arthropoda; Insecta; Coleoptera; Chrysomelidae
Exons: 2
Source: RefSeq, a predicted model, not a curated record
CAAGUUUCGAGACAAAGAAACAUAUUUAUUAUUGGAUACGACUUCAUUGUUUUUCAAAAUAUUUGUGAUUUCAAAUCAUCGACUGCUUAUUUAGGUAUAGGAAAAUAGGAAAUGAAAAAUAUUAUUUUUAAUCUCCUGGAGUAAGAAGAAGUUAUUGCUGCAAUUCUUUGCUCCAAUCAACACGAGCUUUUUUAAGCGAUUGUCAAAUUAUGCGGUAUUCAAAGCGAACAAAACUUUUUGACAGCCAAAUAUCCAUGCAAUUUUGAAUUAUGCGAGUGGAAUUGAUGUCCAAGUAUGACUCAAUCUCAAGGUGUGUCAAAUGAAGUUCCUGCAAAUUUUGGACGACCUUGACGAAAUUCAUCCUGUAGCAGAUUGCGUCCACGAUUGAAUUAGGAAAACCUAGAAGCUGAAGACGGUGUUUCAUCACUAAAAAAUUAAUUCACGUCAUACAAAAUCAUCGCACGAACAUGUUUGCGAUUUAAUUCCUCUUUUGACUAAAAUGAAUAUUUGAACUGUCUGUAAAUAACUCAAAUAGUCCGCGUAUGACAACUUGCUGGGUACGUUCACCAUCAAAAAGUCAAACUUUAAACGUCAAACUACAUCAGUGUAGCCAGUGUUAAAAAUUUAAAUAGCAUCCCUCUUAUAACAAUAGCAAUAGUUGCAAAACGAUAUUUAAAUCUAUGAACAAAAUAUUCAAUAUAUACACAAGUACACUAAAAAUUUUUUUCUUUUAGGAAAAAUUGUUUAAAAACUUGUAUACAAAAUCCUACUUUGUAGGAAGGAGACAAAACUUUUUUGGAAACAUAGCAGAGCACCUAAAAAUGUUUACCAUGAGCUGCCACUGUUAAGAACACUCAAAUUCUGAAAAUAAUUGCAUACAUAUUACAUUUUUUUACAUAUAAUUUACAUAUUAUCAAAAGAAUUAGUAAACAGUUUAUUUAUAAUACCCGUGCGAUACAUGACCAUUAUUUCAACAAAAAUAUAUUUACGAUAAUCUCAGAUACUUUGAAAGGAAAACUGCAUUUUCCAAGACCAUCAUUCUCAAGUAGUAAACUUUGACUGCAGAUGAUUCGCUGCCACUAAAACUUAAUAGAGUUUUGAAAGGUGUAGAUGAAAGAUUAAAAGAUGAUUGUUCAAAAUGGCAUACAAAAACUUUAGAAAAUACAAGAAACUGUUAUAUUAGUAGUUUUACAAUAAUUAGGGCACUAUCACCUCAAUGAACACCUGAAGACGUUAAACUUAGUAGAUAAUGCAGCCAGCAGAGUUCGAAACGUUUAUCCACGAUCUCUAGAAGUGUGAAACACUAAAGAACUCCAGAGAUCUACACCUGGGAGCGUAUACAAUGGAAAUAUAAGAGCCAUCCCAUAAUCUAAACUUUCCAAUAAAAGGAAAAUUAAGUCGCAAUGUAUAUAAAAUAAUCUAAUAUAUAAUAUGUUUAUUUUGAAUUUUUUUAAUGUAAUAACAAACUGUCGUUUGUCUCA